RNAcentral lists this transfer RNA (74 nucleotides) under Neolewinella lacunae. It matches the Rfam family "tRNA". From Rfam's summary of the family: Transfer RNA (tRNA) molecules are approximately 80 nucleotides in length. The record is from Rfam by way of RNAcentral. Lineage: Bacteria; Pseudomonadati; Bacteroidota; Saprospiria; Saprospirales; Lewinellaceae.
GCCUCGUUAGCUCAGCUGGAUAGAGCAGGGAACUUCUAAUUCUCAGGUCAGGGGUUCGAGUCCCUUACGGGGUA